Molecule: ribosomal RNA, 407 nt
Filed under: uncultured bacterium
Lineage: Bacteria
Description: bacterial SSU rRNA
Rfam family: Bacterial small subunit ribosomal RNA
Source: RNAcentral
UAGGGAAUUUUGCUCAAUGGGGGAAACCCUGAAGCAGCGACGCCGCGUGGGCGAUGAAAUCCUUCGGGAUGUAAAGCCCUUUUAACCGGGACGAAACACAUGACGGUACCGGUGGAAUAAGCCUCGGCUAACUCCGUGCCAGCAGCCGCGGUAAGACGGGGGAGGCAAGCGUUGUCCGGAAUCACUGGGUGUAAAGGGCGUGUAGGCGGGCCGGCUAGUCGGUUGUUAAAUCUCUCCGCUCAACGGAGAAGCUGCGGCCGAUACUUCCGGUCUUGAGUGCGGCAGGGGAGGAUGGAAUUCCUGGUGUAGCGGUGAAAUGCGUAGAUAUCAGGAGGAACACCCGUGGCGAAGGCGGUCCUCUGGGCCUGCACUGACGCUGAGUGCGCGAAAGCUGGGGUAGCAAACAG